Molecule: transfer RNA, 64 nt
Filed under: Asagarotermes coronatus
Lineage: Eukaryota; Metazoa; Arthropoda; Insecta; Blattodea; Termitidae
Description: tRNA-His
Source: RNAcentral
AUCUGAAUAGUUUAAGUGUAAAAUAUUGGUUUGUGGUGCCAAUGAUAUAGUUUUAUUUUAGAUU